CACCGCCCGUCACACCACGAAAGUUGGCAACACUUGAAGCCGCUGGGCUAACUCGCAAGAGAGGCAAGCGUCGAGGGUGGGGUCAGUGAUUGGGGUG
This 97-nucleotide ribosomal RNA is filed under the name uncultured bacterium. RNAcentral's name for it is "partial 16S ribosomal RNA". It matches the Rfam family "Bacterial small subunit ribosomal RNA", at positions 1388 to 1482 of the family's 1533-position model. The record is from RNAcentral.